UACGGGGGGGGCAAGCGUUGUUCGGAAUUACUGGGCGUAAAGGGCUCGUAGGCGGCCAACUAAGUCAGACGUGAAAUCCCCAGGCUCAACCUGGGAACUGCGUCUGAUACUGGAUGGCUUGAAUUCGGGAGAGGGAUGCAGAAUUCCAGGUGUAGCGGUGAAAUGCGUAGAUAUCUGGAGGAACAUCAGUGGCGAAGGCGACAUCCUGGACCGGUAUUGACGCUGAGGCGCGAAAGCCAGGGGAGCAAACGGG
RNAcentral lists this ribosomal RNA (253 nucleotides) under uncultured bacterium. Its description in RNAcentral is "partial 16S ribosomal RNA". It matches the Rfam family "Bacterial small subunit ribosomal RNA", at positions 524 to 776 of the family's 1533-position model. The record is from RNAcentral.